UACGUAGGGGGCGAGCGUUGUCCGGAAUCAUUGGGCGUAAAGCGCGUGUAGGCAGCUCGGUAAGUCUGCUGUGAAAGUCCAGGGCUCAACCCUGGGAUGCCGGUGGAUACUGUCGAGCUCGAGUCCGGAAGAGGCGAGUGGAAUUCCUGGUGUAGCGGUGAAAUGCGCAGAUAUCAGGAGGAACACCAAUGGCGAAGGCAGCUCGCUGGGACGUGACUGACGCUGAGACGCGAAAGCGUGGGGAGCAAACAGG
This 253-nucleotide ribosomal RNA is filed under the name uncultured bacterium. RNAcentral describes it as "partial 16S ribosomal RNA". It matches the Rfam family "Bacterial small subunit ribosomal RNA", at positions 524 to 776 of the family's 1533-position model. The record is from RNAcentral.